UACCUGCUUGAGAAACAUACUUCUUUAUAUGCCCAUAUGAACCUGGCAAGCUAUGGAAUGUAAAGAAGUAUGUAUUUCAGGUGGGGAUC
RNAcentral lists this microRNA precursor (89 nucleotides) under Pelodiscus sinensis (Chinese soft-shelled turtle). RNAcentral's name for it is "microRNA 1-1 (ENSPSIG00000020247.1)". The stretch from base 6 to 82 matches the Rfam family "mir-1 microRNA precursor family". From Rfam's summary of the family: This family represents the microRNA (miRNA) mir-1 family. miRNAs are transcribed as ~70nt precursors (modelled here) and subsequently processed by the Dicer enzyme to give a ~22nt product. In this case the mature sequence comes from the 3' arm of the precursor. The extents of the hairpin precursors are not generally known and are estimated based on hairpin prediction. Lineage: Eukaryota; Metazoa; Chordata; Testudines; Trionychidae. The record is from RNAcentral.